GUUCCUGUAGGUCACUGUGCAUACCCAUAGUUCCUAUAGGUCACUGUGCAUACCCAUAGUUCCUAUAGGUCACUGUGCAUACCCAUAGUUCCUGUAGGUCACUGUGCAUAUCCAUAGUUCCUAUAGGUCACCGUGUGUACCCAUAGUUCCUGUAGGUCCCUGUGUGUACCCAUAGUUCCUAUAGGUCACUGUGUGUACCCAUAGUUCCAUCCUUUGUAUUAACAUCCGUGGGAUGGAUGGUCUGGUAUUGCCCACUAAGGUCCAUCAGGGUUGAUUCCAGUUCUUGCCUAUUAACAAUUAAGCUGCU
Non-coding RNA from Oryctolagus cuniculus (rabbit), 307 nucleotides. Lineage: Eukaryota; Metazoa; Chordata; Mammalia; Lagomorpha; Leporidae. The record is from RefSeq and is a predicted model, not a curated record.